UCAGAUGGCUGAACGUUUAUCGGUGGACUGUAGUCCCAUGAACGGAGGUUUAAAUCCUCCUCCUGC
Molecule: transfer RNA, 66 nt
Filed under: Neoheterandria tridentiger
Lineage: Eukaryota; Metazoa; Chordata; Actinopteri; Cyprinodontiformes; Poeciliidae
Description: tRNA-Tyr
Source: RNAcentral